This 842-nucleotide unclassified non-coding RNA is filed under the name Blastomussa merleti. RNAcentral describes it as "sequence contains partial 18S rRNA gene, ITS1, 5.8S rRNA gene, ITS2 and partial 28S rRNA gene". The stretch from base 381 to 534 matches the Rfam family "5.8S ribosomal RNA". Lineage: Eukaryota; Metazoa; Cnidaria; Anthozoa; Scleractinia; Plerogyridae. The record is from RNAcentral.
UUAGUGAGGCCUCCUGACUGGCGCCGCUGGUCUGGCGACAGAGCGGCGGACGCCGGAAAGUUGGUCAAACUUGAUCAUUUAGAGGAAGUAAAAGUCGUAACAAGGUUUCCGUAGGUGAACCUGCGGAAGGAUCAUUACCGAUACCGACGCCAAGGCGUCAGUCAGUCAGUCAGUCAGUCUGUGAACCGUACCUAACCAUUUAGGGGUCGGCCAGUCCGUUAAAUGGCGGUCGUACGCGUCCCGCUCCGGCGGGCGCGGACGCUCCGCCGGCCCCGCCAUCGUGUGCUUCCAUGUGGACUUGCAAUUUACGUCUGAUGUGACACGUGAAGGCCCGCACUCCGUGCGUGGCUGGACGAGGGCAAUUGAGNAAANUGAGAUACAACUUUUGACGGUGGAUCUCUUGGGUCACGCAUCGAUGAAGAACGCAGCCAGCUGCGAUAAGUAGUGUGAAUUGCAGAAUUCAGUGAAUCAUCGAAUCUUUGAACGCAAAUGGCGCUCUUGGGUUCUCCCAGGAGCAUGUCUGUCUGAGUGUCGGAAUAAAUCCAGCGCACCCGCCGCCCCNUGUCUUNANAGUUGGUGNGUGGNUGGGUGCGGCGUUGAGGAGUCACGGUGCUAACUCUACGGAGGAGGCGCCGUGUCCCUUGAAGGCNANANAGNGACUCGCGUGGCCCGGGCUGUCUNCCGGCGCCACAGCGGAGGCUAAAGAGAAUUGGCCCUCCGCNNGCCGGUGUGCCUGCUGACCCGGCCGCCGAGUCCGAGAGGCGAACGANNNNNCNNAUGACUUGACCUCAGAUCAGACAAGACUACCCGCUGAAUUUAAGCAUAUCAAUAAGCGGAGGAAA